AAGGCGGUAAGCAAUGGAAGCGGCUUGGAUUUCCAAUCUUCGCAGUGCGGGUUCGACUCCCGCCCGCCUUC
RNAcentral lists this transfer RNA (71 nucleotides) under Armatimonas rosea. It matches the Rfam family "tRNA". From Rfam's summary of the family: Transfer RNA (tRNA) molecules are approximately 80 nucleotides in length. Their secondary structure includes four short double-helical elements and three loops (D, anti-codon, and T loops). Lineage: Bacteria; Bacillati; Armatimonadota; Armatimonadia; Armatimonadales; Armatimonadaceae. The record is from Rfam by way of RNAcentral.